AUGGGUAGCUAUGGUGGAGACGAUGGCGGCGUGGAGCUGACCGAGCUGACGCUGGCGCCGCCGGGCGAGAGGGCGCGGAGGGCGAGGCGGGCGAGGAAGAGCGUCGAGGCGGCGGCGUUCGUGAAGGUGAGCAUGGACGGGACGCCGUACCUGCGCAAGGUGGACGUGGCGGCCUACGGCGACUACCUCGAGCUCCUCCAGGAGCUCAACGCCAUGUUCUACUGCUGCUCCAUCGGCCUGAUGGACGGGUACGGCCAGUGGGAGCACGCCGUGGUGUACGAGGACGGCGACGGCGACUGGAUGCUCGUCGGCGACGUGCCCUGGGAGAUGUUCGUGUGUUCGUGCAGGCGGAUGAGAGUGAUGCGAGCGUGCGAGGCGAGAGGGCUGAGCGCCAACGCGUGA
RNAcentral lists this ribosomal RNA (402 nucleotides) under Triticum aestivum (bread wheat). RNAcentral's name for it is "partial small subunit ribosomal RNA". The record is from RNAcentral. Lineage: Eukaryota; Viridiplantae; Streptophyta; Magnoliopsida; Poales; Poaceae.